GCCUACGGGGGGCAGCAGUGAGGAAUAUUGGUCAAUGGGAGAGAUCCUGAACCAGCCAAGCCGCGUGAGGGAAGACGGCCCUAUGGGUUGUAAACCUCUUUUGUCGGAGAACAAAACCCGGGACGUGUCCCGGACUGCGUGUAUCCGAAGAAAAAGCAUCGGCUAACUCCGUGCCAGCAGCCGCGGGAAUACGGAGGAUGCGAGCGUUAUCCGGAUUUAUUGGGUUUAAAGGGUGCGUAGGCGGUCCGUUGAGGCAGCGGUAAGAUUGCGGAGCUCAACCCGGUCGCGC
RNAcentral lists this ribosomal RNA (289 nucleotides) under uncultured bacterium. RNAcentral describes it as "partial 16S ribosomal RNA". It matches the Rfam family "Bacterial small subunit ribosomal RNA", at positions 337 to 624 of the family's 1533-position model. The record is from RNAcentral.